Long non-coding RNA from Triticum dicoccoides, 545 nucleotides. RefSeq lists it as uncharacterized. The record is from RefSeq and is a predicted model, not a curated record. NCBI's taxonomy places the organism in Eukaryota, Viridiplantae, Streptophyta, Magnoliopsida, Poales, Poaceae. The transcript is spliced from 2 exons.
GCUCUUUUUUCACCCAUUUAAUAUUGAUUCAUCUACAUGGUUAUAUGCAUGCUUUUGCAUACAUAACUUAUCCAGUCCGCUGUUGAUCAUUUCAAUUUUUCAUCCCGGCAGUACGCCGAUAGCCUAACUAGUCUGCUAUUGAUCAUUUCCAUUUUCAUCCCGGCAGUAUGCCGAUAUCUAUAAGCGAGCCAAUAGUUCCAAAACGUUGCUUCACAAUUACUCGGCAGUAUUUGUCUAUUUGAGCAGCACAUAGCUGGCUUCGGUGGGUAGCAUGGCAUGUCCAUUCUCAAUUGAAGUUGGUCCGAAAAUAUCGAACUCCGCCAUGAAAUAGAAAAGAUAGCCACCGUCCAUAGCUCUCAUGUGAAUGUGGCAAGGCCACAAAACAAGUUUUCCAUUGCCGGAUAUCCAACAGAUCAACUGGUGUUAUGGAUGCUUCUUAUAGAUAUUUUUUUGCCAUUUCAAACAUCAAACACCAACUACUCACAAUGGAGACAGGAAACGUGUAGCUUCUGAUGUCAACUAAGUGAGCCUGCCAAUUGUGGCAA